AUUGAACGCUGGCGGCAUGCUUUACACAUGCAAGUCGAACGGUAACAGGCCGCAAGGUGCUGACGAGUGGCGAACGGGUGAGUAAUGCAUCGGAACGUGCCCAGUCGUGGGGGAUAACUACUCGAAAGAGUAGCUAAUACCGCAUACGAUCUAUGGAUGAAAGCGGGGGACCGUAAGGCCUCGCGCGAUUGGAGCGGCCGAUGUCAGAUUAGGUAGUGGGUGGGGUAAAGGCUCACCAAGCCAACGAUCUGUAGCUGGUCUGAGAGGACGACCAGCCACACUGGGACUGAGACACGGCCCAGACUCCUACGGGAGGCAGCAGUGGGGAAUUUUGGACAAUGGGCGCAAGCCUGAUCCAGCAAUGCCGCGUGCAGGAAGAAGGCCUUCGGGUUGUAAACUGCUUUUGUACGGAACGAAACGGCUCUGGUUAAUACCCGGGGCUAAUGACGGUACCGUAAGAAUAAGCACCGGCUAACUACGUG
This 482-nucleotide ribosomal RNA is filed under the name uncultured bacterium. Its description in RNAcentral is "partial 16S ribosomal RNA". It matches the Rfam family "Bacterial small subunit ribosomal RNA", at positions 30 to 507 of the family's 1533-position model. The record is from RNAcentral.